GGGAAUAUUGGACAAUGGGCGCAAGCCUGAUCCAGCCAUGCCGCGUGAGUGAUGAAGGCCUUAGGGUUGUAAAGCUCUUUUGUCCGGGACGAUAAUGACGGUACCGGAAGAAUAAGCCCCGGCUAACUUCGUGCCAGCAGCCGCGGUAAUACGAAGGGGGCUAGCGUUGCUCGGAAUCACUGGGCGUAAAGGGCGCGUAGGCGGCCAUUCAAGUCGGGGGUGAAAGCCUGUGGCUCAACCACAGAAUUGCCUUCGAUACUGUUUGGCUUGAGUUUGGUAGAGGUUGGUGGAACUGCGAGUGUAGAGGUGAAAUUCGUAGAUAUUCGCAAGAACACCAGUGGCGAAGGCGGCCAACUGGACCAACACUGACGCUGAGGCGCGAAAGCGUGGGGAGCAAACAGG
Molecule: ribosomal RNA, 402 nt
Filed under: uncultured bacterium
Lineage: Bacteria
Description: bacterial SSU rRNA
Rfam family: Bacterial small subunit ribosomal RNA
Source: RNAcentral